This 256-nucleotide ribosomal RNA is filed under the name uncultured bacterium. RNAcentral's name for it is "partial 16S ribosomal RNA". It matches the Rfam family "Bacterial small subunit ribosomal RNA", at positions 98 to 354 of the family's 1533-position model. The record is from RNAcentral.
CGGGACUGGUGAGUAACGCGUGAGGAACCUGCCUUCCAGAGGGGGACAACAGUUGGAAACGACUGCUAAUACCGCAUGAAACAUUUGAAUCGCAUGGUUUGAAUGUCAAAGAUUUAUCGCUGGAAGAUGGCCUCGCGUCUGAUUAGCUAGUAGGCGGGGUAACGGCCCACCUAGGCGACGAUCAGUAGCCGGCCUGAGAGGGUGAACGGCCACAUUGGGACUGAGACACGGCCCAAACUCCUACGGGAGGCAGCAG